CAGUGUUGGGACUAACGCGUUAUUAAGUAACGCGUUACGGUAACUACGUUAUUAUUGUGGUAACGAGCACGGUAACUAGUUAUUAUGCCAAAACCAGGAACGCGUUACUCGUUACUGGGAUUUAGAUAGGCUCGUUACUCGUUACUUCGUAUGGUGGAUAUCGCGGAGCUUCCACAGAUUCAAUAACAUUAGGAAGUGGUGGAAGCCAGCAGGUGGAUGAAGGAAAAGGGAGGCAAGAGGAGAGACCCGAAGCGGCCGCCGGUCCGCGUGUCAGGUGAACUGAACUUCAGGUGUCGUGAGGUGCCAUGACGAGAAGGAGUGACUGAGGAAGAUCGUCCACAAGAUGGAAGCUGAGGCCAGGAGAGAGGCUUCAGGAGGAUCAGAGAUCAUCUUCAGCACAGCAGACAUCCCACAGAGAGCUGUGCUACUGGGCUUCCAGGAGAUCGUCAUGAGGAGACUUCGCACAGCAAAAUCUUAAAUAAAAUGAAAGAGAUUCAGCAUUGAUGUUGAGGAAGACAACUAAGGUGUACGACGUGCUCUACCUUAAAUCGUCCGCGGUGUUGGAACGUGAGAACCUGAGGGAUGAAGGAGCGUGCCAAGCUCCAUCUGACGGGCAGGAGCAAGUUCAGCGAUGGACUUGUGGUUCUGUGAACAGCACAAAUGCCAG
Long non-coding RNA from Oreochromis aureus, 667 nucleotides. NCBI's taxonomy places the organism in Eukaryota, Metazoa, Chordata, Actinopteri, Cichliformes, Cichlidae. The record is from Ensembl.